This is a long non-coding RNA of Cercocebus atys (sooty mangabey), 1054 nucleotides long. RefSeq lists it as uncharacterized. The record is from RefSeq and is a predicted model, not a curated record. The transcript has 5 exons. Lineage: Eukaryota; Metazoa; Chordata; Mammalia; Primates; Cercopithecidae.
UCCAGUUUGAUGGUGGCCGUGUAGGGGUCUGAUGCUCAGGAACGUGAGGUGCACCUGCAGCAAGAGGUGGUGGAGAGGGUAUCUGAGAAGAGAAACAGAAGAUCAAACUUAAAGUCACAGCAAGUAGGUGGCAGAGUGAAGAGCAGAUCCAGCAGAUUCUCUGAACUUCCGGAAAGCCAGCUGCCACAUCAAAAAGACACUCAGCCAGCCUAUGGAGAGGAUUGGGGGUCUCGCUCCAAACUCCAACAUCCAGUGAAGAACUGAGGCCUGCUGCCAACCACAAGAGAGGUCUAGAAGAGGAUUCCAGCCCCAGGCAAGUCUUGAGAUGACUGCAGCCCUGAUGGCCUGACUGCAUUUUUGUGAGUGAUUUUGAGUUAGAAUCUCACAGGUAAGCUGUUUCCAUGUCCCUGACUCUGAACCUGUAUGAGAGUAUAAAUGUUUGCUGUUAUAAGCUGCUAAGUUUGGGGGUGGUUUAUUCUCCAUAAAUAGAUAACCAAUACACUUCCCUAUUUUCAAAAUGUUGGGAACCAGUGAUCAAGCGUACUUUUACAUAUGUCCUUCAGGCCUUACAAGACAAGUUUUAAAUGUUUUAUUACUGAGGAAAUUAAACAGUAUUCAUUGAUGGAGAAAACACAAUAUUUGGAGCCAGAAGGUAGGUGUAAGUUUCCCUUUAUUAGCUGUGAAAACCUGAAAAUCACUUUGCUUCUUUGAGCUUCUCUUUCUUCUUAGAGAAAAUGCAGAUUCCUACAAUGCCUGCCCUGUCUUAAUGUUUAUGCUGAGAAACUAAACCUCAGGGAAGUCAGGUCAUUAGUGGCAGAACCACCUCUUGAACUCUGGUUACCAUUUGCAAAAGCCUUUUCUUGUUCCACCAGACGACGUGGGCUCUUGUUGUCGUAGGAUUUCCUGUUUGCAAGAAAAAUUUGGCUGACCCUUGUUUUAUAAGGCUCAAAGUGCUCAGACAACACUAUAGGGUAAGUGGGUAAGUGGAAUUACUCUUUUCUGCAAGUGAGAAAAGAGAGGCCCCAGAGAGAAAAAGUGAAGUUAAUGUCGCAUA